Molecule: ribosomal RNA, 485 nt
Filed under: uncultured bacterium
Lineage: Bacteria
Description: partial 16S ribosomal RNA
Rfam family: Bacterial small subunit ribosomal RNA
Source: RNAcentral
GAUUGAACGCUGGCGGCAGGCCUACCACAUGCAAGUCGAGCGGAUGAAGGGAGCUUGCUCCUGGAUUCAGCGGCGGACGGGUGAGUAAUGCCUAGGAAUCUGCCUGGUAGUGGGGGAUAACGUCCGGAAACGGGCGCUAAUACCGCAUACGUCCUGAGGGAGAAAGUGGGGGAUCUUCGGACCUCACGCUAUCAGAUGAGCCUAGGUCGGAUUAGCUAGUUGGUGGGGUAAAGGCCUACCAAGGCGACGAUCCGUAACUGGUCUGAGAGGAUGAUCAGUCACACUGGAACUGAGACACGGUCCAGACUCCUACGGGAGGCAGCAGUGGGGAAUAUUGGACAAUGGGCGAAAGCCUGAUCCAGCCAUGCCGCGUGUGUGAAGAAGGUCUUCGGAUUGUAAAGCACUUUAAGUUGGGAGGAAGGGCAGUAAGUUAAUACCUUGCUGUUUUGACGUUACCAACAGAACAAGCACCGGCUAACUUCGUG